CCUACGGACAGCAGCAGUGGGGAAUAUUGGACAAUGGGCGAAAGCCUGAUCCAGCCAUGCCGCGUGUGUGAAGAAGGCCUUCGGGUUGUAAAGCACUUUCAGUGGGGAAGAAAGCCUUGGGGCUAAUACCCUCGAGGAAGGACAUCACCCACAGAAGAAGCACCGGCUAACUCCGUGCCAGCAGCCGCGGUAAUACGGAGGGUGCGAGCGUUAAUCGGAAUUACUGGGCGUAAAGCGCGCGUAGGCGGUCUGAUAAGCCGGUUGUGAAAGCCCCGGGCUCAACCUGGGAACGGCAUCCGGAACUGUCAGGCUAGAGUGCAGGAGAGGAAGGUAGAAUUCCCGGUGUAGCGGUGAAAUGCGUAGAGAUCGGGAGGAAUACCAGUGGCGAAGGCGGCCUUCUGGACUGACACUGACGCUGAGGUGCGAAAGCGUGGGUAGCAAACAGGAUUAGAUACCCUAGUAGUC
RNAcentral lists this ribosomal RNA (465 nucleotides) under Vreelandella stevensii. Its description in RNAcentral is "partial 16S ribosomal RNA". It matches the Rfam family "Bacterial small subunit ribosomal RNA", at positions 338 to 795 of the family's 1533-position model. Lineage: Bacteria; Pseudomonadati; Pseudomonadota; Gammaproteobacteria; Oceanospirillales; Halomonadaceae. The record is from RNAcentral.